GUGGGGAAUAUUGGACAAUGGGCGAAAGCCUGAUCCAGCCAUGCCGCGUGUGUGAAGAAGGUCUUCGGAUUGUAAAGCACUUUAAGUUGGGAGGAAGGGCAGUAAGUUAAUACCUUGCUGUUUUGACGUUACCGACAGAAUAAGCUCCGGCUAACUUCGUGCCAGCAGCCGCGGUAAUACGAGGGGAGCUAGCGUUGUUCGGAAUUACUGGGCGUAAAGCGCGCGUAGGUGGUUCAGCAAGUUGAAGGUGAAAUCCCCGGGCUCAACCUGGGAACUGCCUCCAAAACUAUUGAGGUAGAGUACGGUAGAGGGUAGUGGAAUUUCCUGUGUAGCGGUGAAAUGCGUAGAUAUAGGAAGGAACACCAGUGGCGAAGGCGACUACCUGGACUGAUACUGACACUGAGGUGCGAAAGCGUGGGGAGCAAACAGGAUUAGAUACCCGUGUAGUCC
This 450-nucleotide ribosomal RNA is filed under the name uncultured bacterium. Its description in RNAcentral is "partial 16S ribosomal RNA". It matches the Rfam family "Bacterial small subunit ribosomal RNA", at positions 354 to 796 of the family's 1533-position model. The record is from RNAcentral.